Molecule: ribosomal RNA, 495 nt
Filed under: uncultured bacterium
Lineage: Bacteria
Description: partial 16S ribosomal RNA
Rfam family: Bacterial small subunit ribosomal RNA
Source: RNAcentral
GAUGAACGCUGGCGGCGUGCUUAACACAUGCAAGUCGAACGAAGCACCUCUCCCGAAGAUUGACACAGCUUGCUGUAGAUUGAUUCAUUUGAGGUGACUGAGUGGCGGACGGGUGAGUAACGCGUGGGUAACCUGCCUCAUAGAGGGGGACAACAGUUGGAAACGACUGCUAAUACCGCAUAGUAAGAAGAAUUCGCAUGUUUUCUUCUUGAAAGAUUUAUCGCUAUGAGAUGGACCCGCGUCUGAUUAGCUAGUUGGUAAGGUAACGGCUUACCAAGGCGACGAUCAGUAGCCGGCUUGAGAGAGUGAACGGCCACAUUGAGACUGAGACACGGCCCAAACUCCUACGGGAAGCAGCAGUGGGGAAUAUUGCACAAUGGGGGAAACCCUGAUGCAGCGACGCCGCGUGAGUGAAGAAGUAUUUCGGUAUGUAAAGCUCUAUCAGCAGGGAAGAUAAUGACGGUACCUGACUAAGAAGCCCCGGCUAACUACGUG